UACGUAGGGUGCGAGCGUUGUCCGGAAUUAUUGGGCGUAAAGAGCUCGUAGGCGGUCUGUCGCGUCGAUCGUGAAAACCCGGAGCUCAACUCCGGGCCUGCAGUCGAUGCGGGCCGACUUGAGUGUUGCAGGGGAGACUGGAAUUCCUGGUGUAGCGGUGAAAUGCGCAGAUAUCAGGAGGAACACCGGUGGCGAAGGCGGGUCGCUGGGCAACAACUGACGCUGAGGAGCGAAAGCGUGGGGAGCGAACAGG
This 253-nucleotide ribosomal RNA is filed under the name uncultured bacterium. RNAcentral's name for it is "partial 16S ribosomal RNA". It matches the Rfam family "Bacterial small subunit ribosomal RNA", at positions 524 to 776 of the family's 1533-position model. The record is from RNAcentral.